ACUCAAAGGAAUAGACGGGGGCCCGCACAAGCGGUGGAGCAUGUGGUUCAAUUCGACGCAACGCGAAGAACCUUACCUGGGCUCGAACGGCUGGUGCUACCGGUGGAAACAUCGGGUGCUUGCGAUUACAUCAAGAGCUGCCAGUCGAGGUGCUGCAUGGCUGUCGUCAGCUCGUGCCGUGAGGUGUUCGGUUAAGUCCGGCAACGAGCGCAACCCCUAUGUACUGUUGCCAGCGGGUAAUGCCGGGAACUCUGUACAGACUGCCUGCGCAAGCAGGAGGAAGGUGGGGACGACGUCAAGUCAUCAUGGCCCUUAUGUCCAGGGCUACACACGUGCUACAAUGGAUGGUACAAAGGGACGCCAACUCGCGAGAGGGAGCAAAUCUCAAAAAACCAUCCUCAGUUCGGAUUGGAGUCUGCAACUCGACUCCAUGAAGCUGGAAUCGCUAGUAAUCGCGGAUCAGCUACGCCGCGGUGAAUACGUUCCCGGGCCUUGUACACACCGCCCGU
Molecule: ribosomal RNA, 509 nt
Filed under: uncultured bacterium
Lineage: Bacteria
Description: partial 16S ribosomal RNA
Rfam family: Bacterial small subunit ribosomal RNA
Source: RNAcentral